CCCUCUAUACUACAACAGAAGAACAGGUCUUUAUCUUUUCUCUUUCUUUCUUCAUGUCUAAUGAGUAACCCACUAGUUCCAGUAAAGCAGGUCUCUGGGCGUGUCGAUGCUUGCUGCAGUCUGCCUGACUGUCUUUUGCAGCAUGAGUGAUGUUAUUUGUGGCUGCACAUGAUAAGACAUCUUCCUGCGUGUGUUCGUGUGUAUGUGUAUGUGUGUGUGUGUGUGUGUGUGUGUGUUCUUAGUCUAUUUGCAAUGGAAUAAAGGACGCUCCGCCCACCUUUGCCUGUGAGCUUCACUGACAGGCAGGUCAGAGCCAGGUCAGAAACUGAAGGAAAUUCUAGGGAACAUAGGAAACCAUAAAGCGUAAAGGAACUCUACACCAGAACGCCCACUGCAAAACCUGGAAAUACCCAGCUCUCUCUCUGCCAGUCAGCUGGAGCCUUCUCUGAAUCACCAGCCUCACUCUAUGCCAUACUCAGUCUGCACCGUUUGGAUCCGGACUCUUAAUCCAACCCCAGCCGCACUCUGCAUCAAAUUAUUAUUGUGUCAAAUAAAUUGUCUUACUUAUUCUA
Molecule: long non-coding RNA, 572 nt
Organism: Micropterus salmoides (largemouth bass)
Lineage: Eukaryota; Metazoa; Chordata; Actinopteri; Centrarchiformes; Centrarchidae
Exons: 2
Source: RefSeq, a predicted model, not a curated record